This 446-nucleotide ribosomal RNA is filed under the name uncultured bacterium. RNAcentral's name for it is "partial 16S ribosomal RNA". It matches the Rfam family "Bacterial small subunit ribosomal RNA", at positions 338 to 795 of the family's 1533-position model. The record is from RNAcentral.
CCUACGGGUGGCAGCAGUCGAGAAUCAUUCACAAUGGGGGAAACCCUGAUGGUGCGACGCCGCGUGGGGGAAUGAAGGUCUUCGGAUUGUAAACCCCUGUCAUGUGGGAGCAAAUUAAAAAGAUAGUACCACAAGAGGAAGAGACGGCUAACUCUGUGCCAGCAGCCGCGGUAAUACAGAGGGCUCAAGCGUUGUUCGGAAUCACUGGGCGUAAAGGGUGCGUAGGCUGUUUCGUAAGUCGUGUGUGAAAGGCGCGGGCUCAACCCGCGGACGGCACAUGAUACUGGGAGACUAGAGUAAUGGAGGGGGAACCGGAAUUCUAGGUGUAGCAGUGAAAUGCGUAGAUAUCGAGAGGAACACUCGUGGCGAAGGCGGGUUCCUGGACAUUAACUGACGCUGAGGCACGAAGGCCAGGGGAGCGAAAGGGAUUAGAUACCCUUGUAGUC